RNAcentral lists this transfer RNA (88 nucleotides) under Acidimicrobiaceae bacterium. RNAcentral describes it as "tRNA-Ser". It matches the Rfam family "tRNA". From Rfam's summary of the family: Transfer RNA (tRNA) molecules are approximately 80 nucleotides in length. Their secondary structure includes four short double-helical elements and three loops (D, anti-codon, and T loops). The record is from RNAcentral. Lineage: Bacteria; Bacillati; Actinomycetota; Acidimicrobiia; Acidimicrobiales; Acidimicrobiaceae. RNAcentral also lists the same sequence under 1 other name.
GGAGGGCUGGCAGAGCGGACGAUUGCAACGGUCUUGAAAACCGUCGAGGUGAAAGCCUCCGGGGGUUCGAAUCCCCCGCCCUCCGCCA